RNAcentral lists this non-coding RNA (65 nucleotides) under unclassified sequences. RNAcentral describes it as "pemK RNA". It matches the Rfam family "pemK RNA". The record is from RNAcentral.
AAAAAGGUACUUCUGUAACACGCAGCCCGGCCGCAGAGAAGGCGGGGUGGCUGAAACGCCAAUGG